This 327-nucleotide ribosomal RNA is filed under the name uncultured eukaryote. RNAcentral's name for it is "partial 18S ribosomal RNA". It matches the Rfam family "Eukaryotic small subunit ribosomal RNA", at positions 1470 to 1796 of the family's 1831-position model. The record is from RNAcentral.
CCCUUAGAUGUUCUGGGCUGCACGCGCGCUACACUGAAGCGUUCAACGAGUAUUCACCUUGCCCGGGAGGGUUGGGUAAUCUUUUGAAAACGCUUCGUGAUGGGGAUAGAUUAUUGCAAUUAUUAAUCUUCAACGAGGAAUUCCUAGUAAGCGCGAGUCAUCAGCUCGUGCUGAUUACGUCCCUGCCCUUUGUACACACCGCCCGUCGCUCCUACCGAUUGGAUGGUCCGGUGAAGCCUCGGGAUUGUGGUUCUUGCCGCUUUAUUGUGGCGUGACCGCGAGAACUUGUCUAAACCUUAUCAUCUAGAGGAAGGUGAAGUCGUANCA